RNAcentral lists this ribosomal RNA (544 nucleotides) under Eduarctus modestus. Its description in RNAcentral is "partial 16S ribosomal RNA". It matches the Rfam family "Bacterial large subunit ribosomal RNA", at positions 1832 to 2625 of the family's 2925-position model. Lineage: Eukaryota; Metazoa; Arthropoda; Malacostraca; Decapoda; Scyllaridae. The record is from RNAcentral.
GUCUUUAUGGGAUUUAUGUAAAGUCUAGCCUGCCCAAUGAUGUAGAAUUUAAUGGCCGCGGUAUAUUGACUGUGCGAAGGUAGCAUAAUAAUUAGCCCUUUAAUUGAGGGCUGGAAUGAAAGGUUGAACAAAAAGUUAGCUGUCUCUGUGCCAAAUCUUGAAUUUAACUUUUAAGUGAAAAGGCUUAAAUGGGCUAGGGGGACGAUAAGACCCUAUGAAUCUUUAUAUUUUAUUUUAUAUGGUGAAAGAGUUAUAAAGAAUUUUGCCUAAUAUUACUAAAUAUUUCGUUGGGGCGACGGAAGCAUAAGAUGUAACUGCUUUAGAUUUUACAGUUAGAUGGCGUCUAGUUAAGUGAUCCCUUAAUAAGGAUUGUUAGUCUAAGUUACUCUAGGGAUAACAGCGUAAUUUUUCUUGAGAGUCCAUAUCGAGAGAAAAGUUUGCGACCUCGAUGUUGAAUUAAAGACCCUUUGUGACGGAGAGGUUACAAAAGGAGGUCUGUUCGACCUUUAAAUCUUUACAUGAUUUGAGUUCAGACCGGCGUGAG